CACGUAGGGCGCGAGCGUUGUCCGGAAUUAUUGGGCGUAAAGAGCUCGUAGGCGGCCUGUUGCGUCCGCUGUGAAAGCCCGGGGCUUAACCCCGGGUCUGCAGUGGAUACGGGCAGGCUAGAGGUAGGUAGGGGAGAAUGGAAUUCCCGGUGUAGCGGUGAAAUGCGCAGAUAUCGGGAGGAACACCGGUGGCUAAGGCGGUUCUCUGGGCCUUACCUGACGCUGAGGAGCGAAAGCGUGGUGAGCGAACAGG
This 253-nucleotide ribosomal RNA is filed under the name uncultured bacterium. Its description in RNAcentral is "partial 16S ribosomal RNA". It matches the Rfam family "Bacterial small subunit ribosomal RNA", at positions 524 to 776 of the family's 1533-position model. The record is from RNAcentral.